This 209-nucleotide long non-coding RNA is filed under the name Elaeis guineensis (African oil palm). RNAcentral's name for it is "long non-coding RNA (EGUI_LNC044021)". The record is from RNAcentral. Lineage: Eukaryota; Viridiplantae; Streptophyta; Magnoliopsida; Arecales; Arecaceae.
AUUCAACCUUGAUUUGAAGUUUGAUUCAUGCUUCAAUUAACAUGGUGUGGCGGCUAGGAGCAAGCACUACAUGGAUUCAUUUUGAUAGAAUUAAAAUAUGUAAGAAUCACAUGAAUCUUGUUAAAAGUAAACAAAGUUCAGUUGUAAAAUUAUAUUAAGAUAAAGACCUAGGUUGAAGAGAGAGAAUUUCAGUCAUAAUAUGGAUAAGC